This 629-nucleotide ribosomal RNA is filed under the name Pseudomonas sp. EP_R_31. RNAcentral's name for it is "bacterial SSU rRNA". It matches the Rfam family "Bacterial small subunit ribosomal RNA", at positions 40 to 667 of the family's 1533-position model. Lineage: Bacteria; Pseudomonadati; Pseudomonadota; Gammaproteobacteria; Pseudomonadales; Pseudomonadaceae. The record is from RNAcentral.
CGGCAGGCUACCAUGCAAGUCGAGCGGUAGAGAGGUGCUUGCACCUCUUGAGAGCGGCGGACGGGUGAGUAAUGCCUAGGAAUCUGCCUGGUAGUGGGGGAUAACGCUCGGAAACGGACGCUAAUACCGCAUACGUCCUACGGGAGAAAGCAGGGGACCUUCGGGCCUUGCGCUAUCAGAUGAGCCUAGGUCGGAUUAGCUAGUUGGUGGGGUAAUGGCUCACCAAGGCGACGAUCCGUAACUGGUCUGAGAGGAUGAUCAGUCACACUGGAACUGAGACACGGUCCAGACUCCUACGGGAGGCAGCAGUGGGGAAUAUUGGACAAUGGGCGAAAGCCUGAUCCAGCCAUGCCGCGUGUGUGAAGAAGGUCUUCGGAUUGUAAAGCACUUUAAGUUGGGAGGAAGGGCAGUUACUUAAUACGUGACUGUCUUGACGUUACCGACAGAAUAAGCACCGGCUAACUCUGUGCCAGCAGCCGCGGUAAUACAGAGGGUGCAAGCGUUAAUCGGAAUUACUGGGCGUAAAGCGCGCGUAGGUGGUUCGUUAAGUUGGAUGUGAAAUCCCCGGGCUCAACCUGGGAACUGCAUUCAAAACUGUCGAGCUAGAGUAUGGUAGAGGGUGGUGGAAU